This 292-nucleotide ribosomal RNA is filed under the name uncultured bacterium. RNAcentral describes it as "partial 16S ribosomal RNA". RNAcentral also lists the same sequence under 1 other name. The record is from RNAcentral.
GGACUACUGGGGUAUCUAAUCCUGUUUGCUCCCCACGCUUUCGUGCAUGAGCGUCAGUGUUAGCCCAGGGGGCUGCCUUCGCCAUCGGUGUUCCUCCAGAUCUCUACGCAUUUCACUGCUACACCUGGAAUUCCACCCCCCUCUUCCACACUCGAGCUCCUCAGUUUCAAACGCAGUUCCCAGGUUAAGCCCGGGGAUUUCACAUCUGACUUAAGGAGCCGCCUGCGCACGCUUUACGCCCAGUAAUUCCGAUUAACGCCUGCACCCUACGUAUUACCGCGGCUGCUGGCAC